RNAcentral lists this ribosomal RNA (251 nucleotides) under uncultured bacterium. RNAcentral's name for it is "partial 16S ribosomal RNA". It matches the Rfam family "Bacterial small subunit ribosomal RNA", at positions 524 to 774 of the family's 1533-position model. The record is from RNAcentral.
UACGUAGGGGGCAAGCGUUGUCCGGAUUCACUGGGCGUAAAGAGCACGUAGGCGGUUAUUUAAGUCAGGUGUGAAAGUUUUCGGCUCAACCGGAAAAGUGCACUUGAAACUGGAUAACUUGAGAAUCGGAGAGGUAAGCGGAAUUCCUAGUGUAGCGGUGAAAUGCGUAGAGAUUAGGAAGAACACCGGUGGCGAAGGCGGCUUACUGGACGAUUACUGACGCUGAGGUGCGAAAGCGUGGGGAGCAAACA